Molecule: ribosomal RNA, 468 nt
Filed under: uncultured bacterium
Lineage: Bacteria
Description: partial 16S ribosomal RNA
Rfam family: Bacterial small subunit ribosomal RNA
Source: RNAcentral
GACGAACGCUGGCGGCGUGCUUAACACAUGCAAGUCGAACGGUGAUGCUCCAGCUUGCUGGAGUGGAUCAGUGGCGAACGGGUGAGUAACACGUGAGCAACCUGCCCCAGACUCUGGAAUAAGCGCUGGAAACGGCGUCUAAUACUGGAUACGAAACAGGCCCGCAUGGGCAUGGUUUGGAAAGUUUUUCGGUUUGGGAUGGGCUCGCGGCCUUUCAGCUUGUUGGUGAGGUAAUGGCUCACCAAGGCGACGACGGGUAGCCGGCCUGAGAGGGCGACCGGCCACACUGGGACUGAGACACGGCCCAGACUCCUACGGGAGGCAGCAGUGGGGAAUAUUGCACAAUGGGCGAAAGCCUGAUGCAGCGACGCCGCGUGAGGGAUGACGGCCUUCGGGUUGUAAACCUCUUUCAGCAGGGAAGAAGCGAAAGUGACGGUACCUGCAGAAGAAGCACCGGCUAACUACGUG